Hemicordylus capensis (graceful crag lizard) is the source of this 4919-nucleotide long non-coding RNA. RefSeq lists it as uncharacterized. NCBI's taxonomy places the organism in Eukaryota, Metazoa, Chordata, Lepidosauria, Squamata, Cordylidae. The record is from RefSeq and is a predicted model, not a curated record. The transcript is spliced from 6 exons.
GGUUUCACUUCUGGGCACCUUUCACAUUCAAGGUUUCUGUCCCAGGCUUAACACUCUGCCACUUUUAGAGUAUUGCCCCAGUGUACUGCUGGUUCCACAGUCUCCACACAUUCACCAAUCAAGUCUCACACAAACCCCUAAACAAUCUCUCUGCUAUGUUCUGUUCAACCUCUCACUCCUAAUAUUCAGCUCCAACUACCUCUCAUUCCAUCUAACUCCAACUGUCUUCUGACCAACUGUCCUCCUUUUUAAAUCCUUUCCCCUCUGAACAUUCUGUGCCUGGUUACUAUGGCAACACACACUCUCCUGCACUCACUCUCCAGCUCCUAUAUGUACAUUCUAUCACACAGACACACAAAUUCACUGCCUUAUUUACAUAGUAGUCACCACCACCACCACCACCCCCCCUUAAGGAAAGAAGGGAAUUCAUAAGGAUAUGAGAAAUCCACUGCACCCCACCCCUUGGUCAGUGUCAGCUGCAGCAGGUUCCCAUUCUACCAUCUCUAAAGGAAAUUUGGAAGACUCAAAACACCUGGGAUGAAAUACAACAUAAAGAAGCCAGCAAAAGCAUGGACUUAUAAUGUACAUAUUUUAGGAAGAAUACUUAUUAAUCCUUACAAGUUUAAAAAUUCAGAAUUUCUGCAAUUAAAGAAAAAUAUAUAGUCAUAUAUACAGCAGAAUAUUUGAUUGAAUAUUUCUUGACAAUUGAUGCUGUCCACACCCAAUUGUAGUCAAGAGCAACUUUUUUAUUAUACUGGACUUGGAUGGUACAUUAUUGUUCCAGUCCAAUGACCUGUUGCACAUGCAGAGUUCCAAAUAAGUAGCAUGAGGACAAUGUCUGGUGGUUGAAUUGAUCGGGAUUUCUAGUGGCCUGUGGUGGCAUAAGGCACUUCUGUCCUUCCAUUGUUCUUUGGUUUUCCUCAUGACUUAGCAGAAUAAGAAUAUAUUUUUCAAAAUAAAUAAUGUGUGGAAUAUUUGCAUAAAAGCUGCAGAAUUUAUCUUUUGAGGCCAGAAUCUGGGUUAUUCUGAUGCAGAAUUUUUAUUUUUAAGCACAUAAUGAUUUAUUUAUUAUUUAUUUAUUAUUAUUUAUUUUUAAGCACACCAUACCAUUUCUAAAAAUGUGAAUGUAAACGGGGCCCACUGAAUUAUCUGAAUCAUAUAUACCCAAAAUACUUUGUUUCUUCUCAAAUAUGCCACAACAAAAUGCUCUUUCCACAGCCAUGAAGUAAAUUUGUCAUCAGGGUUAGAAAAAGUGUCAUGUGCAGCACAGGCUUUAAAUGGAUGGUUUCUCCUAGCUUAUCCCAGAAUGGCAUUGACUUGACAAAUGUGGGAAAGUCCACAGCUGUGAGAUGGGGGCUUAGGUUGUGGGCUCUUGGUCAAUUGAAAGGUUGCAUUAAAUGUAAAUUAUAGGACUGUUACUUAGAUAUAUACCCUUCUCAACCAGGUGAAAGGCAAACAGGUCCCGCACUAAUUCACAGAUGAGCUUGCUGGCAAAAGCAGGCAAGGAGGCAGGCAAUUAUAACUCUCAUCUAGGAAGGUAUUUCAUAUAAAGCCAUGCCAAACUUCUUCUUCUAUUUAAAAUAGAGCCUGCAAUGCUUUCUCUUUCCAGAUUAUGAACAAAAAAUGCCAUACUGGUAGCAAAUAUCCUGAUAACAAUUGCCUCUUAUUAAACAUUUAUUGAAAUAAAUUCCUAUCAUUUUCUUCUCCUUCCAGUAUUUACAGCUUAUUAUUAACAUCUGCCAACAUCACAGUUUCAUCUGUACAGAAGCCAAAGGGUAAAAAAAAAAAAGUCUCUCUUCCUCCCCUCCUUAACAUGACCUGUAGUUAGACAGAAAACAGUUUUCCCAGUCACCGCUUGGCUUCCUGUCUGUGACCUCUGAAAAGCAUUGGAGGCCAGGGUUAAUGGCCUUUCCAAUCUCUGUGAUAAGAAUUCAUUUUGUUCUAUUACCAGCAGUUAUCUCAGGAGCCUGCUGCAUCACUUCAGCAGGGUUCAAUCAAUGAGAGGACCUAAUGAAGUAACCAGCUGUAGCUCUAUUUCACCUGGUCAACUCUAUCAGACAAAUAAGAUCUAUCAGUCACACAUCUUACGACCAAUCCUAGAAACAGCAUCUUCACAAGCUGGACCUGUAUGCAUAUGGACUAAUGAUACCUCGCCAUUGCUUUUUAACCUUCUCUUUUAAUGUGGCUGAAAAUGGAAUGACAAGGGUUCAGAAAUGUUUCAUUAAGAGGACAAUAGCACAGCCUUAAAGAGGACUGUCUUACAGAGCAUUAAAAUGGUCUUGCUUAAUAGCAAACAUUUUGCUGCCUUGGAAUCCGGAUUCUUUGCAAUGCAGGGCUAGAAACUGUAUACACUUCUUUAAUCUAGUACUGACAACCCUCAUGGAAGAAAGCAAUUUGCUGAAAUAGAAAGCUCACCACACUAGCCUGAGUGGGUGCCCUAUGCUCUUCAGUGUGUCACAAGACAUUUCAUUCAGGGAACUCUGUGUACACAUAGAGGUAUCUGAAUAUACAGUACAAAUGGUGGACUUGAUCACUACAACUAAGUGGGACAGAUCCAUGAAGCUCUUUAUCACUUGCCUUUAAGAAGUCGUGAAAAUUCAUUAGCCGUCUUGUUGCUAAUGCAGCAUAGUUUUAUUUAGCCAAUAGGAGGACAAAGUCAUUUCAUAGACUCUUCAGAUAACAAUGGAAAUAGCCCCAUCACUUUCUCUGAAAAGGUGCACUUAAGAACUGGCUCAGCAAUGACAAUGAAUGUUACUGCACUAGCACCAGCACUUAGAGGCAGGACAGGUCUCAGUGUGGGAGCAAGAGACAGGGCUGUCUGCACUAGGUCUCAUACACUGGUAUGUUAUGAUCUGCUCUUCUAAGGCAUGGGCCACGAAUGCAAAGCAAUUACUCCGAAAGAAAAUGCCACAGAACCUAUAAGUCACCAUGAAGAUGCUGGUACCAAAAAUGAAAACAUACAGUGACAUACUGGCUGACAUCCAUACCAAUGAAGCACACAUGCAGCAAUGUUGCACAAAUGCAACAAGGAAGAGAAGAGAUGGUUUUUGUUUAUCUCCCCUUCCCCUUGUAGCCAUCAAUGACUCCAGAAAAAAUGUCCCUGAGUGUUGCACAGCCUUCAGGGACAUGUUUUCAGGAGUCAGCUAUAAAGGGAAGGGGAGAUAAACAAAAAUCCCCCCUCUUCCAUAGCACAUGCUGUGUAUUUGCUGCACACACACUUUGUUAGGCUAGAUGUCAACUGCUAAAAUUAGUUGGAUCCACCAUAUUUAAAUGGAUGAAUUUACUGACUAGAAACUGGAUCACACAACCUUCAGGAACAUAAUUCAGGAGGCACAGUGGACUUCAGAGGAAAGUGGAGAAUGGAGAUUAGUAAGAAUCACCCCUCCCACUCAUGCAACAGUGCAGCAUUAGUAUGAAUGUCAACACUGUUGCACCAGUGCAAUGCUAAUUCAGAUGUCUGCCAUAAUUUUAUUCAUUGGUUUUGCACACAGGCAAGUAUCCAAAGAACUGCUUUAGGAAUGCCCAGAGGUUUGGAAAGGCCUUGUUCUGUUUUUCCCCUUCAGUUGCAGACAUCUCCCCAUGUCAUGCCACAUACUGUUUCAAAAGAGGUUUGUUGUGUGGAAUGGAGAGUGAUAUUGAAGGAAUGCAUGGUCAAUGUCCCCUUGGGUGCGAGGAAGUACCUGUUUGGUCUUUAGAUCCCAGCAAAUGAUAUCAUAAAUUCUUUUUAAUCCCAAAUUUCCGUGGUAGUAAAUAAAGGACAAAUACAUCUAAAUAUUGCUGUGACAUAUUUAAGAGCAUAUUUCCCGCCACUAUACGUCUUCCUAUAUGUCCCUAAAAGAGAGCUGAACUGUCUAUGUUGCAUAUGGAAACAGAUAACUUUAUGCCUACUAGGCAUUUUGGGAACAUCUGUCAAUUUUUUUAUGGAAUGUACUGAUUGUGGGCUAUUGAUUGCAUUUAAACAAAGUUGUUGCGAAAAAAAAUCAGCUAACAAUUCGUGUAGAAAGGACUGAUCAAUAUUUAAAUGACUCUCUUUAUUGAUUUAAAAUUAACUUUCAAUUAAGAGAUCUAUAGGACUCUUAACUGCGACACUUAUCCAUUCAAGAGAAAAUAAAGGUACAUUUAUCGAUACACUUAAACAGCAGUGGCUGGUUUUCUAUUGAUUCAGUCAUUUGCGCUGGGAUUCGUUAGCGUCAUCAGGCUUUAACUUGCUUACUAGUUUUCCCAGUGUAUAUUACUGCAAGAUGAAGGAAUGUACGGUACAUGGAAAUGCAGAAAGCCUAGAGAGUUUAAAGGUACACUAAAAGUUAUAGCUGUAUUUAUAUAUUCAAUCUGGUAUAAAAGGAUCGGAGAUAACCACUUUGAAGACAAUCCAUUUUGAGUUUUCUAAGAUUUAAAUGGAAGAUAUUUCACAAUAACGAAACAAAAAUAGAAAAUAGCAGGCAUGGACACUAAGCAACACCAUUUGCCUGAAGUCGAAUUUCACAGAACCCUGCAGAAGCAAAAGAUGAAAGCCACUGGGCAACUUGUAUUGGGCUCAGAAAUUAUUUCUCCAUCAUGAUGAAAAAUAACCAUGGACAUCUGGGAGUUUAUUUUUCAAUUGUAUUUUUGACCUUCUCUCCAUAUUCAGAGUGAAUGAGACCAUGGAUAAGGAUCCCACCAGUCUAUUCCUCCUCUGAAGACAGAUAUCAUAAUUUUGGUAGUAUAAUAUGAACUCAGAAACUAGUUCAGUUUUUUCCUUGGAUUUUCAAACUUCAUACUUCUGAAACAGGACCUCAUAAUCUAACUGUGGCAGGAAAGCAGAUCUUUUCUGAAGAUGAGCCAUACUGGGCAAACAAUGGGAAUGUAACUAACGUAUGCCUAAGAGGCAAAACAAGUGAUUCAUUACAAAUGAUGGAAAUAAAUGUUAUCUAAUUUCUGAA